CCAAUAGCGUAUAUUAAAGUUGUUGCAGUUAAAAAGCUCGUAGUUGAAUUUCGGGAUCAGUAGGUCGGUCGUGCCACUGGUAUGAACUGGUCUCACUGGUUCCUCCCUCUUGACGAACUGUAAUGCUAUUAAUUUAGUGUUGUAGGAAAUCAGGACUGUUACUUUGAAAAAAUUAGAGUGUUUAAAGCAGGCUUUGGCUUGAAUACAUUAGCAUGGAAUAAUGAAAUAGGACGUUCGAUCCUAUUUUGUUGGCUUCUAGGAUUGACGUAAUGAUUAAUAGGGACAGUUGGGGGCAUUAGUAUUCAAUUGUCAGAGGUGAAAUUCUUGGAUUUAUUGAAGACUAACUACUGCGAAAGCAUUUGCCAAGGAUGUUUUCAUUAAUCAAGAACGAAAGUUAGGGGAUCGAAGACGAUCAGAUACCGUCGUAGUCUUAACCAUAAACUAUGCCGACUAGGGAUCGGAUGAUGUUAAUUUUUUAAUGACUCAUUCGGCGCCUUACG
This 500-nucleotide ribosomal RNA is filed under the name uncultured Glomeromycotina. RNAcentral describes it as "partial small subunit ribosomal RNA". It matches the Rfam family "Eukaryotic small subunit ribosomal RNA", at positions 591 to 1092 of the family's 1831-position model. The record is from RNAcentral. Lineage: Eukaryota; Fungi; Glomeromycota.